This is a non-coding RNA of Camarhynchus parvulus, 520 nucleotides long. Lineage: Eukaryota; Metazoa; Chordata; Aves; Passeriformes; Thraupidae. The record is from the annotation of a RefSeq genome assembly.
AUGGAAACCUCACCACAGCACUUCCUCCUCCCCCUGCCAGACUCUCCCAAUUCACCUCCCGAAUUUCAACGCUCAGUCCAUCGGCACCCUGUAAAUGCUCAAUUCUCAGUCCGUCCAGAGGAGAAGUCCUUCCUGGGCCACGGGCUCCGGGCCAAAGUGACCCUGCUGGAGCCCGGGGGCACCUCCAGCCCCCCGGGGGUCCCUGCGCCUCCUCUGCCGAGCGUCCGGGUUCAGUAUUGGCAGUUAUGCCAUGUACUGGGUCCGACAGAGACCCGGGCAGGGGCUGGAAUGGGUCGCGGAGAUCAGCAGAGGUGGCAGCACCUGGUACGCGGAUUCGGUCAAGGGCCGGUUCACGAUCUCCAGGGACAACGGGCAGAGCUCGGUGACGCUGACCAUGAACAGCCUCAAGGACGAGGAUUCCGGAUCCUAUUUCUGCGCCAAAUCUGCUGGUGCUGGUGCUGGUGCUGCUCGUAUUGAUAUCGUGACCCGGCCCUGCACUGACGGCGCGUACUCGGUGUAA